AAAAAGAUAAAUCCUGAUUUCCGUGUCCAAUAUUUGACUGUCCGUUUUAUUUGAAAAAACUAUGAAAAAAAUUAAAAAAAUGAGUCACGCAUAAAAUAUUAAUAAUGUUUUGUCAUCUAACAAUAAUAAAAAUACUAAUUAUAAAAAAAUUUCAUAUAAGAUGGAUAGUUAAACGUUGACACGUAAACUCAGGGUUUGCUUUUUU
Molecule: microRNA precursor, 205 nt
Organism: Oryza sativa Japonica Group (Japanese rice)
Lineage: Eukaryota; Viridiplantae; Streptophyta; Magnoliopsida; Poales; Poaceae
Rfam family: MIR812 microRNA precursor family
Source: Rfam